Long non-coding RNA from Salvia splendens (bonfire salvia), 559 nucleotides. RefSeq lists it as uncharacterized. Lineage: Eukaryota; Viridiplantae; Streptophyta; Magnoliopsida; Lamiales; Lamiaceae. The record is from RefSeq and is a predicted model, not a curated record. The transcript has 2 exons.
GUGACUUACAUUAUCCAGCUAUGAUCACAACUCAGAUCUUCCUCACCACUCUGAUUCUCUCACUCCAUUUCUUCCAUAUAUGACCAUCAUCGUUUGGACACCAAGGAUAUAUAGUCAUUUGUCUUUUGUAGUGUGGUUUUUGAUCUACAAAUUCCAGGAGAAGGCGUUUGUCCUUAUUUGAGGGAGUAGAGCCAUUCCUACAAAGUGACAACAAGCUCAUGCCAAUAAGGUAUUCUUACUAGGACAUAAAGAAGAUGACUAAGAAUUUUGAAGAUAAACUAGGCGAAGGGGGCUUCGGUUCUGUUUACAAAGGAAAACUUCGAAGUGGCCAUCUUGUAGCAGUCAAAUUGCUUGGAAAAUCCGGAGCUAAUGGGCAAGACUUCAUCAAUGAAAUAGCAACUUCAUGUAAAUGUUGUUCUACUAGUUGGAUAUUGUGCCGAAAGAUUCAAGCAUGCCCUUGUUUUUUAUUUCAUGCCAAAUGGUUCCCUUGACAAGUAUAUCUUCAACUGAGAAAAAGCCUUAAUUGGAUUGGGAUAUGAAAUUUAAGAUUGUAGUUGAA